GGAUGCGAUCAUACAAGCACUAAAGCACUGGAUCCCAUCAAAACUCCGAAGUUAAGCGUGCUUGGGCGAGAGUAGUACUAGGAUGGGUGACCUCCUGGGAAGUCCUCGUGUUGCAUUCC
RNAcentral lists this ribosomal RNA (119 nucleotides) under Triticum aestivum (bread wheat). Lineage: Eukaryota; Viridiplantae; Streptophyta; Magnoliopsida; Poales; Poaceae. The record is from RNAcentral.